This 255-nucleotide ribosomal RNA is filed under the name uncultured bacterium. Its description in RNAcentral is "partial 16S ribosomal RNA". It matches the Rfam family "Bacterial small subunit ribosomal RNA", at positions 235 to 504 of the family's 1533-position model. The record is from RNAcentral.
AUCUGAUUAGCUAGUUGGUGAGAUAACAGCCCACCAAGGCAACGAUCAGUAGCCGACCUGAGAGGGUGAUCGGCCACAUUGGGACUGAGACACGGCCCAAACUCCUACGGGAGGCAGCAGUGGGGAAUAUUGCACAAUGGGGGAAACCCUGAUGCAGCAACGCCGCGUGAAGGAAGAAGGUUUUCGGAUCGUAAACUUCUAUCAAUAGGGACGAAGGAAAUGACGGUACCUAAAUAAGAAGCCCCGGCUAACUAC